UGGGGAAUAUUGCACAAUGGGCGAAAGCCUGAUGCAGCAACGCCGCGUGAGUGAUGAAGGCCUUCGGGUUGUAAAGCUCUGUCUUUUGGGACGAUAAUGACGGUACCAAAGGAGGAAGCCACGGCUAACUACGUGCCAGCAGCCGCGGUAAUACGUAGGUGGCAAGCGUUGUCCGGAUUUACUGGGCGUAAAGGAUGCGUAGGCGGAUACUUAAGUCAGAUGUGAAAAUCCCGGGCUUAACUUGGGAACUGCAUUUGAAACUGGGUAUCUAGAGUGCGGGAGAGGAAAGUGGAAUUCCUAGUGUAGCGGUGAAAUGCGUAGAGAUUAGGAAGAACACCAGUGGCGAAGGCGACUUUCUGGACCGUAACUGACGCUGAGGCAUGAAAGCGUGGGGAGCAAACA
This 402-nucleotide ribosomal RNA is filed under the name uncultured bacterium. Its description in RNAcentral is "bacterial SSU rRNA". It matches the Rfam family "Bacterial small subunit ribosomal RNA", at positions 355 to 774 of the family's 1533-position model. The record is from RNAcentral.